AGGUCUUCACCAAGCAGGUGGACUCAGAGAGAAGAGAGGGACUAAGCCUGCCUGGGUGUUAUCAUGGCCUUUUAGAUCCUAAUGUGUCUUUGGAUCUCCAACUCGGGCUCUUGACUUCAUGGAUACAAGGCACCCCCCCAACCCCCC
Molecule: long non-coding RNA, 147 nt
Organism: Bubalus bubalis (water buffalo)
Lineage: Eukaryota; Metazoa; Chordata; Mammalia; Artiodactyla; Bovidae
Exons: 2
Source: RefSeq, a predicted model, not a curated record